RNAcentral lists this long non-coding RNA (362 nucleotides) under Equus caballus (horse). Its description in RNAcentral is "lncRNA (ENSECAG00000053483.1)". Lineage: Eukaryota; Metazoa; Chordata; Mammalia; Perissodactyla; Equidae. The record is from RNAcentral.
AGAGAGCACCCUCUCACACACAGGCAGGGGCAUGCUCACGUCUGGCCUCCCCUCCCCCUCUCCCCCCCCCAUCCCGAAAUCUGUCUCUGUCUCUCAAUCCCUGUCUUUGCUCCCUCUCUCCCAACUUGUGCAGAAAGAAGAGGUCAUAUGAGGACACAGCAGGAAGGUGGCAUUCUGCAAGCCAGAAAGAAAGUUCUAACCAGAACCCAACCAUGUUGGUACCCUGAUCUUGGACUUCUAGCCUCCAGAACGGUUGAUCAGAUUUCUCUGAAAAAGACCCCUUCAGUCUCCUGCCCAGAGGAGGGAACAGGUCUGAUUACCAGUGUUCCUGGGGGAGAGGGUUGGACCGGUGAGUGAAUCUA